Molecule: non-coding RNA, 183 nt
Filed under: Thalassotalea litorea
Lineage: Bacteria; Pseudomonadati; Pseudomonadota; Gammaproteobacteria; Alteromonadales; Colwelliaceae
Description: 6S RNA
Rfam family: 6S / SsrS RNA
About the family: E. coli 6S RNA was the first non coding RNA to be sequenced, but its function was unknown until recently. It consists of 184 nucleotides that fold into an extended hairpin structure with a large single-stranded internal bulge. The 6S RNA specifically associates with RNA polymerase holoenzyme containing the sigma70 specificity factor.
Source: RNAcentral
AGUUCCCUGGGAUGUUUGAUAUUAACUAUGUCCCUGAGCCGAUAAUUUCUACUUAAGGGGGUUUAUCGGUUGCUAUUGAGCAGGCCCGGCUUGUACCGGGAAGCCUAAGGCAAUUGCGCAACCUCCGCCUUGAACACACGGUUGUUCAAGGGCUGACGUUGGUACCGGCAUUUUGGGGAACCC